GUUAUUUUCAGACGGAGGAGGGUCUAUUUACACGCUGAAUGCAGACGUUCUGGAGCUCGUGGCAGAGUGUGAUCACGCCUUCGAUGAUGCGUCGAACAACAAAGAGCAAAAGUGCAGGUUGGAGUCUGUGCAGGACCUGAAGCAUGCAGGAUGUGGCCAUGAGUGGAAAACACACCAGCGUCUCCAGGCAUCAGGGACUCCCUCCUCUGGUGAGACAGCGCCAAACAUCCAGCCUUCUCGUUCUGCCUGUGUGUCCUGUGUAACUCACACCUCAUCAGAAACUGAAGUGGAACACAACCAGAAUAGCAGCGAUUGCUUUUGCAGUGCAAACAAACUGUGGAUGAUUUGGUUUCAGUCCAAACUCGGAUGGAACCAAACAAGGAAUGUCCUACAACCAGAAGUAUUACAGCCUCAUUUACAAGGUUCCUUCUUAUGUUACACUCUUGUUUCCCAAUUUCAUUCACAAAACCUCAUUUUGGUGUCAAAAUUAUAGAAUCGUGAACAUUCUAGCAUUUAAAUACAAGUGUUGUUAUACAGUAACAAACAGAAAACUAAUGUAUUUUGUAGCGCUGUGCUGUUGAACAAAGUUCUACUCACGCUUUCAGCUAGAUGUUGGAGUGCUCUUUUUAAAGGUAGAAUAAAGCCCUCGAAAGAUGUUCUAAAAAAUGUUUGGUGAUAUUGUCAGGCCACCAUUACUUAAUAUUCUUACCCCUUUGAUGCGCAACAUGGGUCAAAAGUGACCCAGAACCAAUGGAAAAUGUCUAUCUCCUGAUCCACACGGCGCAUCAAAGGGUUAAAGUGUUUUCUGAGUGUUGCAUUGACAAUACUCUGCCUGUUAAUUAUCAUUUUUUAAAUCACGUAACAUUGUGUGUAUGCUUAAUGGCUGUAUGUUUGCCCUUAUUUCCAAAACAUCCUACAGGAAUGCUUUAUUAAAAAUGUUCUGUCAUCGGAA
Molecule: long non-coding RNA, 952 nt
Organism: Acanthochromis polyacanthus (spiny chromis)
Lineage: Eukaryota; Metazoa; Chordata; Actinopteri; Pomacentridae
Exons: 2
Source: RefSeq, a predicted model, not a curated record